Molecule: long non-coding RNA, 23961 nt
Filed under: Spirodela polyrhiza (greater duckweed)
Lineage: Eukaryota; Viridiplantae; Streptophyta; Magnoliopsida; Alismatales; Araceae
Description: long non-coding RNA (SPOL_LNC002444)
Source: RNAcentral
AUUUUUUUUUUUUGUUUUCUAUAGUUUCUCAAAUAGUCAUGAACAAGAUUUUUAAAAUAAAUAUUUGACUUGCAAAAUGAUUUGUUUCCCCUCCAAAACUAGAAUUUUGUGUUGAUGGACACCAAUAAUUAUGAAUUAAAUGAAGUAAUUAAUCGUCAAUUAAUAAUUUAACUCUUAAAAUAUUCUAAUCAAAGAGGAAAUUGAAUGAGGUAUGGAGGAUAUAGGGUAAGAACUUCGUUACGAGAAAAGGGGGGUGAAUUGGGAGUGUAUAGAUUUCACAACUCCCAUUUCUUCUAUUCAGACUUUCUUUUCAUACAUGGCUUACUUAACAAAGAACACUAGACUUUUUUUUUCUAGUUUGUCUAUCACUUCGCUAUUGUAGUCUCAUAGGAAAUUUCAUACAAGAGUUUUACUAUUUCCCUUAGAAAAUACACACUGAUAUUAACAAUCUCACCCAAAGAAACCUUAGAAGUCAAUCUCCUUAAAUAUAACACCCUUCUAGGGUUAAAAUCGGCUACUAGUACGGCAUGCCUUCACACAAAUGCCUCUAUCCUCACCACUUGUGUCCUAGGGCCUGAUGGAUAGCAUAAAUCCUUGAGAUGAAGGUUGUCUUGAUCAUCAAAGUUACAAAUCAAUCAAAUGUAGUGUUCAAUUCCUUGUUGAAGCUCAUGAUGAACAAAAAUUUGAGUGAUUCAUUAUAGAUUGAUGAAGACAGUCAUUUCUUUCUUCUCAAGAAUUGCCUUUUUUUUUGGAUAUUGUCUUCUACUAGUUUGUCUUAUUUUUCUUGGUCAUUAGAGAUUAGGAAAUUAAUUUGAAAACUUAUUAUCUUUUAGAAUACAUGGUAACAACCCUUGAUCCUUUUAUAAUUCUUUUAUCCAUUUGAUUUAAAAUUUGAAAUGUAACUCUGUCUCUUUUUGACAAUUAACUUUGUUGUUGAUGCCAAGUCUGACUAAACAUGUUUAAUCUAUCAUUUGAUCUACAUAAGUCACAGAUGUGUCAUAGUUUAGAUUUCAAGUACAAGAUUUAUGAGACGUAUCUGUAUUUUGUGAAUUUGGAAAUGUCCUCCAAUAACUUUAAUUUCCUAUACAUAUGAAUAAAGUAAAUAUUUCUGCAUUUAAGAUGCCAAUUCAAGAAUACAGAAAAAGUGAUAAACACAAUUUACUUCUUACCAUUUAUCAUUGAAUAUCCUUUUAUCAAGGGAUGAUUCUACAAUGCAAAAGAUUUAACAUUCUCACAUACCUAUCAUAAAAAUAUCUUGAUCUCAAGUAUAACACCUUCAGAUUUAAUUUUUAUUUACAAGAACAAGGAAUUUCAUUCAUAAUAAAUUAUCAAAUAAAUAUAAAGCAUUUGAUUAAAAAUUCUAAAUUCAAUAAAAUUUAAUAAAAAAAUUUCUCAAAUUUUAAUACCAAAACAGACAUCAAUAGAUGGAUCAAUAAAAUAAAAUAAAAUAAAUCAUGAUCACGAAAGGGUGCACAAUCUUUAAAGAGAGACUUCAUUGGUGGAAGAGACUGUUACUAAUAGGGACUGAAAAUUGACAAAAUAAAAAAAAAUGAAUAAAAGGGAAAUAUAAGAAAGUAAUGGGGGAAUAGAAAACACCUACUGAAAGGAGAAAAAGCAUUGGAAUAUAGAGAAAUGCACCAGCAUAAGAGUUUUCCCCUGUAAGUGAGAAAUCACCGAGAAAAGGGAUAUCACCAGCAAAGUAACAAAACAGAAAUGAAUAAUUGAUCAAACAUCAAACAAGAUGAAGUAAAGAACAGAAUGGAUAAUAGAUAGAGAGAAAACCUUCAUAAAGAAAGAGAGAAUUCACUGGAAAAAGGAAGAACUCUUGAUGAAGAAAGGUCUCUCUUAAGUGUGAGAAAAAUCACUCACAAAAAUGAUCUUUGGCGAAUAAAAAUGGAAAAUUAAGAAAAAAAGGAGCAAUGUUAAAUUAGAACAAAACGAAAAAGAAGCAGAUAAAAUAUUCAUAAAAAGAUAAAAAUAUACCAAAAAUGGGAACUCGUUGAGAGAAGAAAACACUCAUCAAAGAAAGAAAUUGAAAUCAAAAACAAAUUUAGGGACUAGAGAAAUUAAAACAACUGAAGGAAAGAUGAGCAACAUGAGAAAUCAUGUAAAUAGUGGAGGAAGGAGGAGGAAAGGAAGAACAUGGUGUAAAGGUUAGAAAAAAGAAUAACUCUUAUCUAUCACCCAAGAAGAGAGAGCAGAUGAGAGAGUUAGAAAGCAAUGAAAAAUCCCUAAAACUAAAAAGGAAGGAUUUAAAGCAUUAUAAAAGAGGUGGGGAUUAAUUUCCUAUUGUUUACAUAGGAAAAGAUUGAGAGGGGAAAGAGGAACAUGAAGAGAGAGAGAGGGAGGGAGCUUAGGGAAGACGAGAACAAAGAUAGAAUAUGUGCAAAAGAAGGGAGAGAGAAGGGAGAGGGAAGAUAAUAGGCGAGAUAAGAGAUGCACUGAAAUAUAUACAUAAAAGUUUUCGAAUUGAGGAGAGGGACGUGAUGAGCUUGCGUAGGGCAUGGGUGCAUAAAUACCAAAUUGCCCCUAUCUUAUAGCUAAAAUAUGCUUCAUAUCCUAAAUAUAAAGAAUGCAUAAUUAAAUUCCAAAAAUUAUGGUAAUAAACCAUAAUUAUAAAAUUUUGAGAAAGUGAUACUAACAUAAAAUCCUUAUUUACUUAUUAUUUCAUCAUUACAUUAUCAUAAGAAUGUGCAUCUUUAUCUUAUUUUUACUUUAAAAUAUCACAUUAUCAUGCUGCCCAAAUAAUUUUAAAUGUCAACAAAUCCUAGUUCAUUGAUAUGAAACCUAAGGGUCUUUAGUCACUACAUAUUGAGUACAAGGCUUUCGGCACCCAAUCAUAGUGCAGAGAACUUUUCUACCACCAUCAAUUCUUACAAUUUGAGCAACACUAGUUUAGGUGUACAUUUUCUUUUCAGGACCAUUUUUGUGCCCAUCACAAUGCCUUGUUUUCUCAUUAAACCUUCUGAUAUAAAACCUUUGGCAGCCCAACAAGGAAUGAAAGUUGUUACUUCCUCAGUAUACACAAUCUCUUGAUGCUAUGAUCAAUUAGCUAUAUCGUUCAGGUAAAACGUUCUCCUAGUUUCAUCAAUUUUAUUUUAGUAUCCUUUGAGUUUACAUCUUUGUUCUAAAAGUUCUCAAUUGUCCUGAUGUAUGAGAAUAAUCUAGAAUUCCUUUUUUUACAAACUUUCUUGGUUCAAAGUUUUCAUUGCAAAAAUAACAUAAUAUUUCUCCUCUUCAUGCUUUAAGUACCACUUCUAUAAUUUAUUUACCCUCUUUUACCCUCUGGACUAUUACUUAUUGAGCUCCCUCUAGUAGCAAUUAUUUAAGAUCCUCAAAUAUUAGUUUUGCCUUGACUUUAGGUUUGUCAAUUUAGUUGUGUUAUUUAUUCUAUUCAAAAUGAGAUAUGACUUCCGUUCCCCAUUAAUUCAAACUUUUUACCUAAUUAUUUUAUGUCCUUGCCAGGAAUAUUUAGCAAACUAAAAGUUAAUGAAUUCUAAAAAUAAGCCAAUUUCAGAGAUAAAUAAUUGUAUAGUAAAUUUUCCAACUUCAUUAGAGGGAAUGUGAAAAUUAAUUAGUUAUCUAUGAUUUCUAGCUGACAUAUUAAUUUUUAAAAAUAUUUGCAUAAAAAAUAUAAGUAAAAUAAGCCAAAAUAUAUGAAUUUGGGGGUUAAGGACAUUAGCUGAUGUCAACCUAUGAAGAACACCCUCACAUUCAAAGUUGUCGACAAUACACUAUCUCUAAGAUCUUUAAAAUUGAACCCAAAAUAAUUUAAAUCAAAGAUUAAUACCCAAGGGAUUUUGCUUGUACAAAUUGAAUAGUAGAAAAAGAAAAAUCAUAGUUUAUGGAAUAAAUGAGGAACAUAGUCAUCGAAUGAAUUUUCACCCAAAUUUGAUUGAUUUAUGUAGCCACGGUUCACCAUUGUCCUCUUGUACCUUCUCCAAUCAAUUUUUGACAAUUCCAACAAUUGUCACAUGUUGAAAUCAAGUAGCAAAAGAAAUACAACACCAACAUGUCAUGGCAUAUGGAAAAUAACCCUCAAAAGAAAUUCUUCACCCUUUGUAUUGGGUGAAGAAUGUAAAAAGUUUGUUGAGAAAAUUCUUCUUCUGUAGCUUCUAAAUGAGAGAGAAAUUAAGCCAAAAUCCAUCGUUCGUAUUAGAUGGAUGAGUUAGGUGAAUGCCAUCAUCUAUAGUGGUCGAAAUAGAAGCAUUUUGAUUCAAAAGGGGAAAGGAUCCGCUCUUCUCUUUCUGAAACUAGUUUUUAAUCUUAUUAUACUCAUAUUUCAUUCAUUCACUUAACAUGAUUCGUCAUACUUCUCACCACAAUCAUUGCAUCUAUUGUCAGCUCAAAAACUCCAAAAAGAGUUAAUUGUUUCUUUGAUUUAAUUGAUUAGAAGAUAUAGAAAUCAAGUGCAUGGAGUUAUAAUCUGACUUUGAAUCCAUGUAUGUUGAUCUACCAAGUUAAUUUCUCAAUGGAGUAUCAAUCAACAUUCUAAAAAAUUUUUACUAACUUUUUUUAGAUUUUCAUUGGUUUUUCGGAAUGUUUUGAAUUUUUUCAAAUUUCCUUAAUAAUUCUAUAAAAUAUAAAUUAAUGUAUAAAAAUUCUAAAAAAUAUUAUAAAUAAAUAAAAAAUGGAGAAAACAUUUUAUCAUAUUUCAUGAUCAAUUUUAGUAUAUAAUUCUUACAUAUUAACUUUAAAAUGGCAUAAGUAAAUUUAAACCCAAUUUUUGCAAAUGAAAUUAAUUUUAAAUAUUUUUAGUACAAAAAUAAAUCAUCAACCACAAAUAUAGUAACGAGAUUCUCAUUGAAUUAUUGAGAGUUAGCUCUUGUGUUGUGAAGAUUCCCUUGAUAGAUUCUUUCCGAUGUUCUCUCGCUUGUCUUUUCAUUUCCUUUCACCAAUGCUGAUCCUUUGUGUUCCCAUAUUUCUUUCCAGCACACAAUUAUUGUACUCACUUGUUGUCUUCUAUCUCACUUGGCCUUUCUUUGUAUACUGGACCUUUCUGCCUCUGCUUUUUCUGUCAUACUUUAAUUGCAUGGACGUACAGGUCUUAACGUCCCAAGGGUUUUCCAAAUCCAUCAAAAUAGAAUGAAUUUGCCCAGAAGUUUGAUUAUGGAUAAUCAUCAUUAUUUAUGACCAUCCAUUUCUUCAUAGAAAUGAUUCUACAUGCCAGCAUUACAUCUCUAAAUGACAUUUAUCUCACAGGCCACCCAAAGAAUCCACUACGGAAUGUACCUAAUGAUUUACCAGUAGGAUGCAGACAGAACACGACUUUGCUUUUGGCAAUAAUCAAAAGAAUUCAGAGGCUUAUAAGCUUUGUUGAUGUGUAAUUUCAGGGUUUGAUGACAAUGGCUUUUUUUUCUUCAAGUGUAUCAAGAAAGAACGGGAGAGAGGGGCAGAAAACAUCUUACUCAUUUAUUGUGCUAGAAGUUAAGACAAAAUAGGGCAUAAAUUAUUCAUCAUUGUUGUCAUUAUGAAGCAUUGGUUCAUGGAAUUAGAUAAACCUAAUUGAUGGGUUAUUUUGUAUUAACAUAAAGACAUGGCAUAUUAGUUUGAUGGAAAAGGGAUGAUUCUAUAUAUUGGGUCUUUAUUUUUUGUCCAAGUGGGCCAAAAAUAUAUACCAAGUGGCAGGAGAUCAGUCUGUCUUUCCAUUACUUUACAUGUUCUCGAGAUAUCUUUGCUUGUCCAUGCAUGACCAGUUAGCCCCUGGGCUUAGUGGAAUCUUAGAUGAAACGAGUCAUUUUCCUGAUAGAGAAGUGAGCGUUCUAUCUUGUGCCUAGAGACGUAACAGAGUUAAUAAAACUAUAGCUAAUAAUUAUACUUAUUCAAGACAAUGUAUUUACCAAAUCCGGUUGUAAAUGAAAUAAUCUUUUCCUUUUAUUCUGUCCUGUAAAAUUCUUUUAUUAAAAAAUACGAACCAUAAAUAUUAUUCAUACGGCAACGAACAUUUCUACUAUUUAUUACCUCCAUAACAUCAAAUUCAAGCCAUCGAUCGAUUUGCAUAUACAUGUCAAUGUAAGAUAACUCAUAAUUAGAAAUGAGCCAAUUGCCAUAUUCAAGCACUUCCUAUGGGUCCCUGUUCAAAAAUGUCAAGCACGUGGUAGGCAAAUAUCUUUACAGUCUUUGCGUGGGUCAUUGUAGCCUUCUUUCUUAUCCGCCACUUGUCCAUUAGUUCACUCUCAUCCUUCCAAUUCUCCAUACACGGCAUGAUUCAGUUCACCUUCUGGACGUUAGGUCAUGACCCAGUCUUCUCGCAAGUUGUUAUAUAUACCGACAGUAGGCAACGUUCCUGGAGCAGUGGUAGUAUCGGAGGAAAGAUGUUUAUUCUCGACAAGCUGAAGCAGCUCUCCACCGAGAGCCCCCUCUCCUCUCCCAAAGGUUGGGCCUUUUUCCUUGGUACUUGAGGCUGAUGACCUGUGGACUUUCUCUUUCUGACGAUCUGUGCGCAUUGGUUUCCGUCGGCAGAGGAUGGCGGUAGCGAAGAGAGCAGCGGUGGCAGCGCCGCUGCCUCUGGGACGCCUGCGACGGUUAGCAAGCUGUCGCCGGACGCCAAGGAGAACGUUUCGCCGACCGUCUUCAACCCGAGCAGCAAUCUGUUCACCAUGGCCAUUGGUGCCGAGAUUCUCGACAAGCCCCAGCCCAACGCCCCCACCGAAUAGACGGGUUCGCACCCACCGCUCUCAUUCUUUCUGUAUCUAUCCAUUGGUUUACCUCUCUCUGACAACAAUAUAUCGCUUACUGACAGGCUUUAAAACGGAGAGACCAUGAGGUCGCAUCUCUGAGGAUCAGGGGGAACAGCUACGUACGUAGCUAGCCCACUUUCCUGUGAUGCAAUCACCAUGGUAUAUGCCAUCUUCUUUCGUACGUCAAUGGGGGUUCUCUCAUGUGUAGCGUUUGAAUAAGUCAGAUCUGGGUGAAGGGCAACUCCCGUGUAUCUGUAUGUACUUUGGAUGGCGGGCAUGAAAGUAGGAUCUUGGUGUUUGAAUCUGUCUUUGCGAACAUCCCCAUCGUCUCCAAUGAGUUCGUUCAGCAGACCACGGGCACAUCAACGAGCUGACUAGUGAGGGUGCGGCCCAGAUCCUCCGCUGGCCCACGGUUCCCUUGGAUGUCAACCGUUCGAAUUGGAACCAUGUUGAUUCCCUCUGAAAGAGUCAUAAAAUUUCCAAGGUUACGGGGAGAGCAGAAAAAUGCCCCUGUUUGCUCUUUACCCUGCUCAGUUGCUGCUGCAGUUUUGCUGGUUCGCCUCCGUAGCCCUGAGUAGGACGGAGAAGUUCCACAGGGGCCCUUCCCAGUCUAAGGAAACAAGCGAGAGCUGACCUGAAUGAUUAAGAAUGAUUCGUCAGGAAAACCCACAGAAGGUAAUAAAGCUGUGAAAAAUUAUAAAAAGCAAUAAAAUCCCCUCACAAGUCUCGAAGAUGUAAAAAUAGUUGAAGGGAAAAUUAUUGACAUCUAUAAUGUGGAGAUGACCACAAUAUAACAUGGAGCUUGUGAGAACUUGAUGCGGCAUAAUUGUAUAAUAAAUCAUGUAAAUUUAAAAUUUACAGAACUAGAAAAUGACUAUUUUUAAAUUUUUAAAUAAGGUGUUGAUGUUAGGGUGACAUUGGUGUCCAAUGAACAUGAAUCAGGUAGAAAUAGAGUUCCAUCUAAUGAUUCUUACAUAAGCAAUUACUAUCGAUUUAUUAGGUUAAAUUAAGUUCUGUAAAAAUUAGAAAGGUUAUAACUCAAUGACGAAAAAUAUAAAAAUUUGAAAUCGUACCAAAUAUCAUGAAUUUAAAUGAAAAUAAAACUUAAAACAAGAAAAAUAGAGUUUCAACUUCAUGACAAUGAUCGCUAGAAUUCUACAUAUUCAGGAGGAAUUUCGUGUAAUAUCCAUAACUGCAAAGGCUCUCGUUAGACAAAGACAAUGUGGGCAAUUUCUAUAUCUUCUUAUGAAGUCUAGGAAUCAAUGAAAUGGAUCGUUGAAUCAUCUCCAAUGACUGUCACCUGGUGGAGCUGAAAAAUAGUAACUUACGACUCUUUGGUAGCUAUCACUCAAUGGAGAUAAGUUGAAUGGAGGUGGGGAAGAUCUCAGGGGCUUCAUCCUCAAGUUAACACAGCAAAAGGAGGCCCUUUAUCAUAUCUAGUACGCUCUCAGGAGGUGAUGAUCUCUUGGUGGAUCAUCCUCUUCCCAACGACGGCUUAUUCGUCGAUUAAUUGGAGAUGAUUUCCUUGAUGAAUUUGAGAUCUUUUAUCCCAAUCGUUCACCAAGUUUAACAACAAUGUUCCACAAAUCACACUGACUAUAUUUUUCCUAAGAUUUUAAGGAUUCGGGCAGGUUAAUCACUUGUUAAAAAUCAUGAUUUCCUUGCCAAUCACUUGCCUGUGAGAGAGAGAAAAAUGAGAUAAGUAUGAUAAUGCCUUUAUCUAAUGACAUCAUAAGGAUAGUUUUUUUCUAACAAUCAAGGGAUAUUUUGGGUAUUUAAAUAUUUUUGAGAAGGUUGUGAACAUUCAUUUAGUCUCAUAUUAGUUUUCUGCCAAAUUUUGAGACAAAUAAAAGGCCAUGCGAGGCUUUAUAACUAAUAGGUAAAAGAUUUAGAGGCUAGAAAAAAUACCAAGAGGGGGAUAAAUUGGUAUUUUAGAAAUUUUGGAUUUUCUUCUUGAAUGCUAGAUGUCUCAACAUAUGUGUUAACACAGCUCUGCAUUAUUAUUUUCACACGGGAUGACUUUCUCUCUCUUCCGACGGGAUCUCUCUACGAGGCAAGAUCUUUUUAUAUUGGUUCACCCCUCACCUGGCUACUUUCAGUCCUAGAGGAUCUUUCCUACCAGUAUUUCACUAUUUCCCUUGGAAACACACACUGAUUUUAACAUAAUCAACUGCCCAACACCUCAAGUUCGACCUCCAUAGAGAUCCAGCCCCUUUUGGGCCAAACAAGGCUUAGAACACUUUGUCCUUUUGCCCAAACUCACUCUCCACUCACCACCUAGUUACCUUAGGGCCUAAUGGAGAGCCUCCUCAAGAGAUUCAAGCUCAUUUUUUAUCACCAAUCAUUGAUUGAAGAAGUAUAAAGUAGUCUACUUGCAGUUGAUGCUUAGCAAUGAUGUAUCUUGAUCGUGAGAGAGAUGGCUCAUUGUAGAUCAAAGUAGAAUCAUUUUUUUUGGUGUCCUUUACUUCCUUUACUUAUAAGGCGUCAUCUUUCAAUAGAUUUACAUGAUUUGCUCGAGAGACAAAGCUAGAAGGUCAAUUUGAAUACUUAUCGUUUUCCAUAAUGUGUGGCAACGACCUCUAAUUAUUUCAAAUUCAAUAUCUUUCUAUUCUCUAAUCCAUUCAAUUUGAAAUUUGAAUCAAAGAUUCUCCUCUUGUAGACGAGCAACUUUCCUCUUGACUUCGUUUUCUUAUUCAAACAUUAAGCUGGUCGUUUUCUCCACGUAAGCAGCUUAUGUGUCACUAUCCAAAUUUCUGGGUCAAGACUCAUGAGAGCUCUUUGGAUAUUUCGAAUCUUUUUCUUUUUCUUUUAAUGACACAUGUGACUAUUAAAUAAUAGCUGCACUUAAAUAUUUAAAUAAAUAUAGAUAUAUGAAUAAAAAAUAUAAUCAUCAUUUACCUAUUAAAUAUUUGUUUUCCAAUAAAUAUUUAUCUAUGUGUGACACUUCACCUUUUCAUCAUUUCUCUUAAACUCAAAGUUAGUCAUAAUGUCACAAGAUGAGUAAUGAAACCUAUAAAUCUUAAUCUUAUGAAUUAUAUCAAUCAUGUAUAUAUUUUCUCAUACAUUUUGUAAUAUCAAAAUCUAUGCCCAAGGGCAUCAACAAUAGGUACCUCUCUCGCAUAUGCAUGACCACUCUUUGUCCCACACUCAACUGGUGAUAACUCUCAAUAUUUACAUGAUAAUUUUUUUAGUAUCUCUAUCAUUUAUGCUUUAAUUUUGAUUAAAAUACUUCUAAAAUACAUUAAAUUGAAAAAUUUAGAUUUAAAAUGAUUUAUAUGAUUUUAAUGUUAAUUUCUAAGAAUUACAUGAAGAAAUUAGACAUGUAACAUGAUGAAAAUAUUUGUCACAUGUUUUUAUUUUUUAGAUUAUUUUUGAGAAUAUUUAUACAUUUAUUCUUAUUUUAUAGAAAUAUUAAUGAAAUUUAUGAAAAAUCAUUAAAUUCAUAAAAUCAGUGAAAAUUCUGAAAAAUCACAAGAAAAUCACACCGGAUGAUUAAUUGAUUCUCUAGAGAGAAAUUUGCCAAGUAAAUUGACGAAUAUCAAGUUGAAAUCAUGUUAUAAUUAAAUGCGUGUCAUUUUUAUAGUUUAGAAUCAUUUAAAACUAAGGAAAAAUCAAAUCUUUUUAGGAUUUUUGUGUUAAUGGCGGACGCACAAAUUGUGGCAAGAAAUUCAAUGAAAAAAUUGACAAAAUAUGCACAAAGGAAGAUUGAAAAGGUGUUUCCAGUGAGGAAUAAGGCAACCUCGAUUAUUCUAUCCCCUUCUCAGAUCAAAACCCCUCUUGUCUGACAGCUACAAAUGUUAGAUUUCGCCUAAUCUAUUGAUCUGAUACAAACAAUAGAUUUCAUCUAAAUUUCCCCCUCAUUCAACUGCUACAGAGGUUGAAUUUCUUCUAAAAAUCUUUCCCAUUCUUCACCUAAUACAAAUGGUGAGAAAUUUCUUCUAAGGAUCCUUCUCCAGACACCACAGCACACUCAAAGUUGAAUCACCUUUGCUACUCGAUUUCAACAAUUAAUAGUUGUUGGGGUUGUUAACCAUCAGUUGGAGAAGGUGUAGGAAACCAAUCAGGGAACCGCACCUACACAAAUCGAUCGUAUUUGAGUGAAAAUCCAAUCAAUAACUACGUCACCCAGUUCUUUCGUAAACUUUAAUUUAUAUUUAUUUUUACUAUUAUUAGAUUACAAUAACAUAUCUUUUAAUCCAUUCUCAUGUCAUGAACAAAAGUCAUUUGUUAUUAAUUUCUUAUUCCAUCAUUGUGGCUUCAAUUUGAUCCAUUUACGAGUCGACGUAUUUUCGUCGACUGUGAAUUUGGGGCUGUUCUUCACAAGCUAGACAUCAAUAAUCCCCAAAUUUACACUUUUAGCUUAUUUCGCUAUAAUUUGGCUAGAAAAUAAUUAAAAAAAUAAUCUAUCAAAUCAUAAAUAAUUAAUAAUAUUUCAUCUUCCUUGUGAUCGAACUAGAAAAUCUAUUAAUAUUAUUUAUUUAUUUAAAAUUUCCUUAUUUUCUAGAAUUUAUAAAUUUUAAAUUUGCUGAAUUUUCUUAGCAACAAUAAAAAUAGUCAAAUAGGUGGCCACCAGUGAUGUGGCAGGAGAAUGAUACACACAUCCUCAACUACUUGAGCCACCUUCAGCCACUUGAGCCUCAAGCUUGUGAUCCUCAAUUGCUAAAGCCUUAGCUCGUGGCUCUACCGACUAUGCCUCCAAGCCACUUGCAGGCCCGACUAACUAGUGGUUUGUUUAUUUUUCUAUUUUUUAUUUUACUUUUCUUUAUUUAUCUCAAAAAAUAUGAUUAUAAAAUUGUAUAAUAUCACAUAAUAUCAUAUAAUUAAUCAAAAGUUCACAUUAACUAACUAAAAGCUACUUUUCAAAAUUUAACAUAAAAAAUAUAAGUCGAUUUAUCAUGAGUUAAGGCUAAAAUUGUAUAUCACUUAAUUAUUAACUCAUGAAUAAAGCAAGUGAAAGUGAGAGCAUCAAUGGUUCCUUUUUGACUUAUCAGAACCAUUAUUUGGAUAUUUAUAGCUCAUUUCCUUAUAAAGUUAACUAUGUGAGCAUACCAAGGAAUAAUCUUACACUUUAUACUCAUGAUCUGUUCAUCAAGAAAUGAGUUAAAUAAAUUAUCAUUUUCGGAAGGUUGAAUGCGUGAGAGAUGGUCUAUAAUAGGAUUUUCAAAACCUUUUCAUUCUUUGAUCUCAAAAUCAAACUCUUGAAUCAAUAACAUACAUCUAAGGAGGGGUGGUUUAGAGUCAUUCUAAGUAAGUAGAUGACAUAGGGCUAUAUGAUUAGUAAAAUAAUCACUUUACAAAAGUAUUAAAUAAGAUCUGAAUUUUUCUAAAACAAAAAUAAUUGCAAGCAAUGUUUUUUCAAUUGUUGUAUAAUUAUUUUCUCUAUAGAUAAAUUUUUACUAGCAUAACUAAUGACCACUAGUUUUCCCUUUAUUCUUUGGCCCAACACCACCUGUAUGGUAGAGUUUGAUGCAUCACACAUCACUUCAAAUGGUUCUUUCUAAUUAGGUGCUUGGAGAAUUGAUACUUCCACCAAUUUCAAUUUGAGGGCUACAAAAGUAUCUAACAUUUUUUAUCAAAAAUAAAUGGCUUAUAUUUGGCUAAAAUACUUGUUAAUGGUCUAACUAUGUUUAAAAAAUCAUUGAUGAAUUCUCUCUAAAGUCUAGCAUGACCUAAAAAUGAUCUUAAUUGUUUAAUAAAAUUAGGUGGAAGUAAAUUUUUAAUUACCUUAGUCUUGGCUUGAUCCACUUCAAUCCCACAUUCACUAACCACAUGACCUAAAAUAUUAUCUUCUCUUACCAUGAAAUGACUCUUCUUCUAAAUCAAAACUAAAUUUUAUUCAAUGCAUUUGGUAAAUACUUUCUCAAGAGUAAUAAGACAGUCAUUAAAAGAACAUCUAAAAACUGAAAAAUCAUCUAUAAAUACUUCUAAAAAUUCUCCAACUAUUUCAGAAAAAAUAGAUAACAUGCAUCAUUGAAAUGUGGUAGGAGUAUUAGAUAAACAAAAGGCAUUCUAGUGAAAGUAAAAGUAGCAAAUGGGCAUGUAAAUGUAGUCUUCUCAUGAUCAUUUGGAUUGAUGGCUAUUUGAUUAUAAUUGGAGUAGCCACCAAAAAAGCAAAAAUAUUUUUGACCUAUCAAUUUCUCUAAAUUUUGAUCCAUAAAUGGUAAGGAAAAAUGAUCUUUUAUAGUGCAUGCAUUUAAUUUUCUAUAAUCAAUACAUACACAUCAUUUGGUUGGGAGUCUUGAAAUUUUUUUUUCCUCUUCAUUCUUAAAAUUUUUGGGGAAUAUGAGUCAAAGCAAUAACAAGAAUAUUUCUAGUGGAACUUCUUAUGGCAUCCCACUCCCUUUGUCAGCAUCUACUAAUUCAGAACUUAAUUUGAAAGCUAGGCAUGAGUUCUAGUAUCAUAAGUGUUUCCUCAUGGAUCCCUUUACAAAAUACCAAUUUUAUUAGAAGAGUUAGUGAAUCCUCCUUGAUUUGGUAUAACUUGAAUUGGACUCACCCAUUUGUUGUCAAAAAUAGGAUAAAUAAAACCAACAUUUAACCAUUUAUUUAUCUCAUCUUUAACAACAUCUUUCACACUGAAAUUAAUCUCCUUUGCAUUCACGCUUAGGUCUUGCAUCUUCCUCUAAAUAAAUGUUAUGCAUGUAAGUGUUUAGAUUUAUAUCUUUGAUAUCAGAAAUAUUCCACCCAAUUGUAUCCUUAUAUGAUGAUAAAACAUUAAUCAAACAUGAUUCUUGGGUAUAAGUCAAGUUUGCUUUAAUAAUGACAAAGUUAAUAUUUUUUAGACCUAGAAAAAUAUAUUUAAGACUUUUAUGCAAAGGUUUGAGAUCUAAUGUUGGAGAAGAGAUGGAAGGAGGGAAAAAUUCUUCUUCAAAUAUUGUUGUAGCAUAUAAAUCAGAUGGUUUAUCAUGUAAAAACAUAUUAUCAAGAAAAUUAUCAAUCCAAUCAAUUUUGGAAUAAUCUUCUUCUCCCCUUAGAUAAUUAGUUGCUCUAAAGAUAUUAGGAAAAAAUUAAUAUUUUCUUUUAUUGUAGCAAGAAAUUGACAUCAUAAAGUGAUAACAUUUGUUCUAAUUUAUGUUACAAUGUCAUGUCGAAAAUCAGAAAAUCAACAAGAAAGUAACAUUUGCCUACUUUGACAAUUACAUCUUCUAAUAUUCCUUUAAGUUUCUUAGUAGAUCUAUCUGCAAAUUGAAGAAUAGUAGAGGCUAGUUUGAGCUCACUAAUCCUAAAAUAUUCAACAAUAGUGGCAGGUAAAAGAUUAAUACUAACACUUAAAUCAAGAUAUGCAUUACCAAAAGUAAUUCUACCAAUUUCACAAGAGAUUAGAGGUACACCUAGAUCUUUGCAUUUCAUGGGUAAUUAUUCAAGAAUACUUGCACUUACUUGUGAUGAAAGAGUAAUUCUCUUCUCCCUAUUAGGUGUGCACAUCUCUUUCAAAAAAAUUUCAUAACUUGGUAUAUACUUGAUGGCAUGCAAGAGAGGAAUCUUGACCUGCACUUGAUGGCAUGCAUCAAUCCCUUUUUAACCUUUGAUUUUAAUGCAUGAGGGAAAGGUGAAGUGAGAACAUAUUCUUUGUGAUCAAUAUUUACAUGAACCUUUGAUUUUUCAACCUCUUCAUUAUCACUAAAAUCAUCAUCUUCCUCUAUAAUUUUCUAUUUUUGGUCUUCUAAAUUUUUUUCCAUAGAAAAGAGGCCUUUUCCAUCAUCUUUUUGUUGGUAAGGAUCACUCAAAACCUUCCCAACUUGUAGCUAAAAAAUGGCUUUCAUGUCUUCUAUUUGAGAUGGCACAAAAGCUUCUUCAAAACCUACAUUUACUAUGUUAGUUUGAUGUUGAAAAUUAGGAGGAUGAUUUUAUGGAUUGGCUAUAGGUUGACUUGGUAGCUGGCCUCCAUUUGGUCUAAUUUGUUGAGCUGCAUGUGGUUUUUAUGUGAAUUGAUGUAUAGAUUGAUUUUCUUAUUGUUGUUGCAGUAAUUGUUGAAUGGCUUGUUGUUGGGUUUGUUAUUAUUAUAAUAAUUUUUGAAUAGUUUGUUGUUGCUAAAUCAUGAUCUGUUGUAAAUCACUCAAUUUAUUCUCUAUGUCUUGAUUAUUUCCCAUGACUUGUUGUCCUUGACCUAAUAGUAGCUGUGCUUGAAAAUUUGAUGGACGUGGCUAACCUUGCAUAAGUGAAAAUGUUUGUUGUUGAGGUCUAACUUGCAUGCUAGGAUGACUAGAAUAUGUUUGCUAGACAUAUUUUUAUUUUUCUAUAAAAAUUUGGAUGAUUUCUCCAUCUAACUUUAUAAGAAUUCUGUACAAAAUUAUGGUUAGGUUUGUUAAAACCUUGAGCUAAUUGAACUUGUUGAAAUGUAUGAUAGAGAAAUAAUUUGAGGACAUUCAUUUUCAACAUGAUUCAAACUUGAACAAAUUGUGUAAAUUUUUCUGUUAAAUUUUUCUUGAAAAGUAAGAAUUUUUACAUCUUAGAAUUCAGCUCAUCAAAUUCAUUAUUUCAUUCUUUUUCAUCUGAUUUUCAAAUUUCAUAAAUUGUACCAUUAGAUCUAUCAAAAGAAGAUGAAGAUACAUAGUUUGAAGAGUUCUCACUACAUUCUUUUAAAAGAUAAUAUCCCUCAUCUCCAUUUUUUUUCCCCUAGGAUAAAGUUUUUUCAGAAAUUCUUGCACUAAAUCAUGUCAUGAUUUUAUCUCCUUUUCUAAAGUAAAAAUCUAAUAGCUAGGAUCACUUUUCAAAGAAAAUAAAAUAAUUUUAAUUUUAAUUCAUCAUCAGCCUCUUUGAUAGUCCCACAAACCUUAAGAAAUUCUUACAAAUGACCAUAAGGAUCUUUAAUAUUUUUACCAUAAAAUAUAAAAAUUUCCUGAUUUGAUAUCAUGCUUGCAAAUAGGUUGUUGUAGAAAAUCAGGUCCAGAUGGUGGAUUAAAAUGAUCUAUAAUAAGUUUAGGUUUUUCUCUUUUUUCCUCCAUUUUUCGUGAAUUAAGUAAAUUAGGAGGUGAUUUAACUCUAGAUAUAGGUAGUUCUACUAAUUUGGGUUUUAAGACCUUCCUAGCAUGCAGUUGUUAAUUCAUGAUUUUUUUUUAAAGUGAGAUAAGGAAAGAAAUAACAAAAAAUAGAAAAAAAAAUUUCCUAAAGAGAAUUAAAGAUUUCGAAAUUGCCUUCCCCAGCAAUAGUGCCAAAAAUUGAUGUGACCCUAGGUCAUUAUUAGAAUCAAUAGUCAAUUUGAAAAUUUUAUAAAACUAAAUAUAGCCAAAAUAAUAUUAAAUAGAUAUAAUGAUGAGCUAGGUCAUCUCCUCAAGGAAGACUUUUAGAAAUCUUUUUAUUCUCUAAUUUAACAGAUUAUGAAGUUGAUUUGAAGAUUUAAAUGGAUAUUCAAAGCAAUAAAGAAAUAAAAUAGUAAAUAAAUAUAGAUACGAAUUUAAAAUAGAAAUAAUUAGAAAAAUAAAUGAAAUAUGCUUUCGAAUGAUGAAAGUAGAAAAUAAAAAAGUAAAGAAAUAAGUAAAUCUAAGAAAAUAAAUUUAUUUUUUAUAUCUAAUAAAAAAAUAAUGAAAACUAUAUUGAAAAUCAAACUUACAACCCUUAUAAUGCAUGGCUUGAUGUUGACCUCUAGGUAACACUUCUCAAUCUUACAUUUAGUUCAAUUGAAUGGAUUUAAGGUGAGAAGGGUAGAGGAGAACAAUAAAAAAUCAAUGGUGCAUUCCUUGAACUUCUAUUUUCGUCGAAAAAAGAAUAAUAUUUUUUCUCAAGAACAACUCAAAAAAGGAUUCCUUUCUCUCUCAUCUUUCACUUUUUAUCCCCUAGAUCUGUAAGUCAUGUUUUUUAUUUUAACUUCCUAUUUUCUACUAUAUUUUUAUAAUUUUUCUCUCAUUUUUCUAACAUUUCCCCUUUUCUCACAUAGGAAUAAUUGAUAUUAUCUAUUUUACCAAAUAAUAAUUGAUAUUUAUAAAUAUACCUUUUACUAUGUGAGAGAAUAAUCGAUAUUAUCUAUUUUACCAUAUGAUAAAUGAUAUUUAUAAAUAUAUCUUCUAAUAUCUAGCUCAAUGAAGACUGUUGGAUCCUUGUGCCAUCAUUUUGCUUUAAAGAGGAUAACAUGGCCUCUAAAUCGUCAUCAGAUCCAUUUUACCUCUCGCCCCUUUUUCACAUGCUUUAUUGUGAUCCAUGUGCAUGGUGCACCACAUCCUUGUAGCUAGCAGCGUGGCAACUUUUGGCUUAUUAGAUCUGAUUGUGGCUGCCGUUAGAUCUAGCAUUAUUUUUUGUGCAAUGGUGGGCAAUGAUGUGAUGAAAUCUUGUGCAGUAGAUACAAUUGUUAACAUUUUCAGAUCAAUAGUUACUUUUUGUGUGGUGUAUAGUGACAUGGCACAGUCCUAUGUGUUGGAUUUGGCUACUACUAUUAUUCUGUUGUCGGAUCUGAAAGAAAUGAAGAGAUAUAUUUUAGUCCCAUAUCGGAAGUUUUACGAAGGUAAAGUGUUAUAUAUUAGUAGUACCCUCUAACUCAUCAGAGGCACCUCUAAAAGGGAUGAUCCAGACUUGACUACUAGCAUCCUAAGGAUGAUCUGGAUUGAGACCCAACUCUUAGUAAACUACGGAGAUAAUCUAUUUGGCUCAAACCCAUGACCUACAUCCACGACCCAAAUUCACAGGUUGUGAGGUGGUGCCCUUUGGGCCCACUCCCAAACGUAGUGUGGCCUCUGACCCAUGUCGGGCCCCUUAAGUGUUGUGCCUCCAACUGCUAAUGGUGUGCUAAUUUUUAUUUUUUAUUUUAUAUAUUUAUUUGAAUGCCUAAAAAUGUAAAAAAAAUUCAUAAAAUAUAUUUCACUUAAUCAUAAAAUUUUAUCACAAUAGAAUUUUAUUUCAAAAUCGACAAAAUGAGAAUUAUGCUUCAACAUAUUUUCAAUAUAUGAAAUAAAUUCUCAUCAAUUUUCUUUUUAUUCAUAAAAUAUCAAUUUAAAUCAAGAUUUAAGGAGGUUCAUUUAAAUAAAAAAUAAAAUAAUUAACAUAGUAACUUGUAAAAUACUUCUCAAAUAGACAUUAUUCUCUCUAAUUUAAUAAGAGAUUAACAUAAAAUUUUUAUAAGUUAUCAAAUAUGCCAACAAUUCUUGGACCUAAUCCAUCAUAGGCCACUUCAAAAACUUUUGAGAAGUUCAACAACCUAAGGAUAGGGGCGUGAGUAAGUUUUAUUUUAAUUUCAGAAAAGGCUUUAUGUUAUCCCGGGGUCAAUUCAAAUUUUUCUUUUUUUACAAUCAGUAAUAGGUGCCAUAAUACUACUAAAAUUAUGAAUAAAUCAAUUGUAAAAAGUAGGUUGACCAUGAAAACUUAUUACAUCAUGAAUACUAGUUGGGGUCGGCCAAUCUUGGGUGGCUUUAACCUUUUUAGGAUCAACUAAAAUUCCUUUAGAAAAGACUAUAAAUCUGAGAAAGACUAGCUAGUUGGCUAGAAAGAUACAUUUACUUGGGUUUACAUACAAGUUUUCACAUUGCAGAGCUUCACAAACUUGUCAAAGAUGAGUCAAAUGAUCAGAUUUGGUUUGACUAUAGAUUAAGAUAUCAUCAAAAUAAACCACAACAAAUCUUCUUAUAAAGGGAUGUAAUAUAUGGUUCAUUAAAUGCACAAACGUACUAAGAGCAUUGGUCAAACCAAAUGGCAACAUGAGCCAUUCAUAUAAACCUUCUUUAAUUUUAAAGACAGUCUUCUACUCAUCUCCCAAGUGAAUACAUACUUGGUUGUAACCACACUUAAGGUCAAUUUUUGAGAAAAUGGUUGCAUAGGUCAUCAUGUCAAGCAUGUCAUCUAGGCAAGGUAUAAGAUAAAAAUAGUUGACUGUAAUCUUAUUAGUAGCCCUACUAUCUAUGCACAUUAUCUAUGUGCCAUCAUUUUUUGGAGUUAAUAAUGUUGGUAUGGUGCAAGGGCUAAGACUUCUCUAACGAAAAAUCUUUUAAGAAGUUCCAAAACUUGUCAUUUUAAUUCUUCACCUUCAAGAGUCAACCUAUAGUGAGGUAAAUUGGGCAAGCUAGCUCUAGGGACUAAAUCAAUGACAUGUUGAAUUGCAUGCAUAGGAGGCAAAUGAUCAGCAAGGUCAUCAAGGAAUAUAUCUUUAAAUUCUGUUAAAAUGGAAGACAAUUUAUUAGACAUUAAUCUAUAGGUUAAUAAUUAUAAAUUAGUAGUUACAUCUAUAUAUUAAUAUCUUAUAUAUAAAUGUUAAUUAUUGGAUAAAGAAUAUAUUUAUACAUGUUUUACCAACUCAUUAUGACAUUUAUAAUGUUUUAUCAUUUAAGUCCUAAUGCAUAUUAUUUUACUUAUUUUAUUAAUAUUAUGAGACUAAUCCCAAUUGACUUUUAUGAAGUUAAGUGAUGAUUUUCUCACAUUUUCUUAAUAAUUAUUUAAUUACAAUGACUUAGAUGAGCUCUUAUUAAGAGUUGGGAGUAAUGGGAGAAGCCUAAGUUCUCAGACUAAAGAAAAACUCGUCUUAUAGAGAGGGUCAACCCAAUACUUCUAUGGACCUAAGAGAGUACAUUAUCUCCGUCAAGCUCAUUUGAACCUUAAGUGACACAUAACUUUGGCCCAGCCUAUUUAGACUUAAAAAGGCUAUCAAGAGAUGAGAUCUUAGAGUACCUUAAGAUGAGAUUAAGAAGAGAAUUAAAGCACCACCCUCAUAAAGGAAUUUAGGCCAUUCACCAAGAGAGUUGGUUACUAAUCACAACUGUCCAUCAGAGGGAGUCAAUUCUCUAGAGGUUUAAGGCCUCUUGCCCCCCUCUUAGAGGGCGUUUUUUGGAUCUCUCUCUAGUAACUACUAGCCAAAGGAAAAAGGAGGAAAAUCAAGAUCCGAUUAAUUGCAUUCUCAUGCUCAAAAUCGACAUGGAGAAGAGAUUACCUCGAUGCAUCAAGAUCAUGUCAAAUCAAGUACUACUUGACCUAAGACUUGCACACAACAAGGUUUGUGCAAGAUCCAAAUUUGGGGCAUUCUUGCAAUCCUCUCCAUUGAUAGAUUAACUUAUAGUUCAAACUAAUUUUAUCAUUUAUUUUAUCAUUCCAUUAUGUUACAUCUAUUCUCUCCCAUUCACCACAGUCUCCAUUUCUCUUGUCUUCACCCUUUUUACAUUUAAUUCCACCCUUCACCAUCUCAAGUAUAUAUAUAUAUAUAUAAGAAAUAAAAUAAACAAAAUUCCUACCCUCAUUAACCAUACUCCUUGAGGAUCAACCCUUAGUUAUCCUAAACCAAAGAGUGAGGUUUCAUAAAUAUUAUUUGCAUGAACUUGGUUACAUCACAACAACAUAUUUAACUCCUAAAUUGAGUUCAUCAGAGGUCAUAGUAUUUUUUGGUUUAGCAUGUACCAACCAGCAAGGAGUUCCAAUAGAGAGCUCUCAAUAAAUGUCUACUGCACCCAUAAAUUAUAGUUUAUUGAUUGGAUUAGAAGAGUGGGACGUGGUGGAAUGAAAAGGAUGCCAAAUAAUUUUUUUAUUUUUGAACCUAAAGGUAUAGGUAUUAGAUUGUCCAUGUUGAAUGACAUCCUGAUCAAAUAACAAUGGACAUCCUACUAACCUCCAUAGGAAGAAUGUCACAUCAAAUAUCAUCUUCAUAUAAAUGAAGUUUUAAAGGUACUCAACAUUGUUUUUGAACAUCAGCUGAAGAAGAGUCAACCCAUAACACUUUAUAAGGAUGUGAAUGAUCAAUGGUUGAAAAGUCUAAUCGAGAUAUGGAAUUUAAUGAAAUAGCAUUAAUACUACUAGUACUAUCUACUAUUACCUUGCAAGCCUUUCCACCAAUUUUAAUGAAGGAAUAGAAUAUGGACAUUUGAUCUUUAUCUUGUGGAGAGUGUGGUUGGGUCAAGACACAUCUCAUGACUCCUAAGGUGGUGUCUUGGUCGUGAAUAUCAAGGACAGUGGAUUCAACAUGGAAUUCUUGGGCUAAUCAUUCUGCAGUGUUACAUUCUUCUACAUCAAAAAGGUUUUGAUCUUCAUUAAAUAGAUUUUCUUCUUGUUCAAUCAGAUGAAGGGUGCAUGUGGAACAUUGAAAUGCUCAAUCAUCGUGGCCAUCAUAGCGAAAACAAGUAGUCUUGUUAAAAGAAUCCAAAGUGAUAGGUUUCUUUUCGUGAUCUAUAGGGGGUAACACAAUGGUAGAUGAAGUGGAUGAGUUAUUCGGAAUAUUUUGAGGAAGGUCAGGGUUCAUGUUGUUAUUAGGCAGUUUAGGAGAUCUUUGAGAGAUCGAGACUAAGGGAGAAUGAGAUGAUGAUAUUGAGUGUUGAAGGGAAGAAAGUGAAAAAUGCUCAAGAUCUCAAGCUAAUUGAUAAGCUUGUUGUAAGGUGGUAAUUUCUCAAAGGCAAAUUUCUCAUUGGAUGUCAUCCCAUAGGCCAGAUCAAAAUUGUGACAGGGUUAUGGCUAGUUCUUCAUUGUUUUCACAUCUCAUGGAAAACUUCUCAAAUUGAGAAAUGUAUGUGAUAAUAACUUGAUUUCCUUGCAUCAACAUUUGCCAUUAGUCAAGGAAACGAGAAAGGUAAGUAGAAGGUAUGAGUUUCAACAUUCUGCCAAUAAAUCUUACCAUGACCAUCUAAUUUCAUUUGGGCAAAAUGGACUUUCCGUGAUUCAGACAUUUUGUACCAACUAAAAUAACUAUCCAUAUCAAUUUCCCAAUUAGUAUAAACUUGUGGAUCAAGGACACCAUUGAAAUAAGGGGCUUUGAUUUUUAUAUGACAAUAAUUAGAUUCUCCUCGGUUGACUGGACACCAAGGGCGCUAUAAGUGUUGUUAGGAGGUGAUUGAGAUGCCUGGACAUUAGGAGAUUCAUGUGUAAGAUUUAGAUGAUCCAAACAGCUGCUAAGACAUGAAUAAUUAAUAUCAAGUUGAUUCAACUGUUCAAACAGAACUUUCACCCAAUUAGGAACCUUGUCUUCGAUGGUGUCAUGAGAUUGAUGUUCCAUGGCUAAGUAAGCUCAUCCAAAUUUAGUAGGCCUGCAAAUGGGAGCUGAAAUCUUAACCAAAACUCCUGCUCCGAUAUCAAAAUUGAUGUGGAAUAAUGGGAAGAUAAGCACAGCCUGUUGAAUUUUCAUAGAGCAAUGAAUUUGAGGAGAUUUAAUGCAGUUCCCUAUUAACCCACAAGAAACAAAGUCGGAUGUCGCACUUUGAGAAAACUGAUAGGUUAGGAUUUUUGAAGAACGAGAUGAGGAAUUAUUAGGCUCAAGUGUUCAGGGUAAUUAAGCAACAUUAAAGAUAAUUGUUAUCUAAUGGAGAAAAGGUAAAGAAAGAGAUUACCGGUGGAGAACUUGUACACUAUCCAUCCGUGAUGACCGUGAAUCUAAAAUGUUGAAUCUUACUUCACACAGAAAGUCACUGAAAUAGGGUGGGUGGUAGGAAAGAGGAGUAAUGAAUAUAAAUUUAACCCUCACGGUCAGCUCUUUUUAGAGUAUAGGUAGCCCUCGCGGCUUCUCCAAAUGAAGCAAAAAAGAAUUCAACUUCAACUAUCCAAUUCAUAUUACAGUCAUAUUUUUAUAAGUCUGGAAAUCAGGAAGGUAGACAAAUAACUAACUAAUAACAACUAAUUAAUAAUAAACAAAGUCACGGCGAUGAUGCACAGUGCGUGAGUGAUGUGGCCAUAACCCACUCCUCUUAUGUUGUUUAAUACGUGGGGGAGAGUGUGGGUCCUCUUUCCUUAUAUCAUGCUGAAGAGAGAAGGGCAGAGGAGAAAGGAAAGACAGAUGGGAAAAAGGGAAUAGAGGUGUGAGAUAAGUGGCCCUCACGACCAACUCCAACUAGGAGCCUGGCGUCCUUGCAAUCAACCCAACCGAGUCAACGUGAUCAAAGCUAAUCAAGUGGAAUAUUCUUUCAAAGACAGACUACUUACAGACAAUGUUCAGGGUCUAUUUAAUUGACGAGGACAUAAAUCGGAAGACCUCGGUGGCUGUUGAAGAACCCCCCCUAAAGAUGUCGUCUGCCGGCCAGUCCAAGGGAAUGGAUAUCUUUGAAGCUGCAUUAACGCCAAAAUUUCAUCACAAGGUCUUUCGUCGGCGACCUUCUUGCGUUCAGGUAAAAUGUUGCACCUCUUUGAAUCUUCUUUAUGUAAUAUAUUUUCUUGCUACGAUCACUGGAGGGCCAUAGGAAAAGGCUUCCUUUCUUUGAUGAUUUCAAGCCUACAAGCUAUCGACCCUCAAUUUCCCAUGAGAUACAUGUUCCUUGGUGUGGUGAGUACCGAUAUCAAUCAAACCUUCAAUUAUGGAUCCCUGCGAAAAAGGCCGUUCCUCUAGCGUCAAAUCUCAACGUUUCCUCAUCGGGUGUCAACCAUUCCCCAACCCUUGUAUAUGUAGUUGUAGGCCUCAACGCCCAUCAAAACCGUCGACGCAUCACUGUCUCUCUUUCCCUCUUACUCUCUGUCCUUUGUCGACCGAAUUCACACUUGCCGCCGGAAGAAUGCCUGCGUCGCCUGGGAAGUUCCCCCGCGGCCGUUUGUGCGUUCUUCUUCUUCUCCUUCUUCUUCUUCUUUGUCGUCUCGUCGCCGUCGUCUUCUUCAUCAUGCUCUCGCUCCUGGGCUCCGGCUAUGAGUUCUCACUUUUUCCUUUGGAUAAGGAUGGACCCCUCAGGGCGGGGAAGGCGACCCAAAAAGGCUGCAGCAGGAACAGGGAAGGCCAGAGAGGAAGGAUGUGGAAGCCUAUGAGCCUCUCCGCCCUAGAAAAGGUGCCAUUUCUCUUGUCUCCCCAUAAUCCCGGAAGUUUUCGGAGGUCUCCAGAGUGAUUCAAGAUGGUUCUGAUUCCGAUGGUGGACGUCCCUGGGAGCCGUGAGAUGCUGGAGGAUCUUGACGAUCUGGGCCGCACCCUAUUAAGCCAAUUCGUUUACCUUCCCUUGGCUGGUGAGGAAGAUGUUUUAAAAACCUAAUCAGAUUACAAUCUAAGCUUUCUUCGGAAAUAGAAAUUAACAAAUUUAGUCAAAUAACAUUACCUUUUUAUUUCCCGCUUCCUCAUUAAAAGAUGAGGAAAACGCCAACAAGACCCACCCAUAAGAAGCCAAAAAUAUUACUACUCUUAUAAUGAAAAUUUAUUAUAAUAAAUAAUAAAAUAUCGACGAUCGUAGCCACGUAUAAACUGCGAUCCAGCUGAUGAUGGUAUGGCGCGGUCAGCUGAGAUAGUUCGGAGCGCAAAGAUCUUAGCUUUCAUGUACAGAAUACACAGUACAUAUACCAGAGGGAUGCCCAUCACACAGAUCUAAGUUAUUCAAACACUAAACACACGAGAACACCCUUAGGAGCACGAAAGAAGAUGGCAUAUGCUACGGUGACUGUCUCCCAUGAAAGCGGACUAUCUACGUACUUAGAUCCUGCCCCUCAA